RNAcentral lists this ribosomal RNA (253 nucleotides) under uncultured bacterium. RNAcentral describes it as "partial 16S ribosomal RNA". It matches the Rfam family "Bacterial small subunit ribosomal RNA", at positions 524 to 776 of the family's 1533-position model. The record is from RNAcentral.
UACGAAGGGGGCUAGCGUUGUUCGGAUUUACUGCGCGUAAAGCGCACGUAGGCGGAUUGUUAAGUGAGGGGUGAAAUCCCAGGGCUCAACCCUGGAACUGCCUUUCAUACUGGCAAUCUAGAGUCCGGAAGAGGUGAGUGGAACUCCUAGUGUAGAGGUGGAAUUCGUAGAUAUUAGGAAGAACACCAGUGGCGAAGGCGGCUCACUGGUCCGGUACUGACGCUGAGGUGCGAAAGCGUGGGGAGCAAACAGG